GGACUACAGGGGUAUCUAAUCCUGUUCGCUCCCCACGCUUUCGUACCUCAGCGUCAGGGGCGGCCCAGCAAGCUGCCUUCGCCAUUGGUGUUCCUGGUAAUAUCUACGCAUUUCACUGCUACACUACCAAUUCCACUUGCCUCUGCCGUCCUCUAGGAACCCAGUAUGAGAUGCAUCGAUAUGGUUGAGCCACACGAUUUAACAUCUCACUUAAAUUCCCGCCUACGCACGCUUUACGCCCAGUGAUUCCGGAUAACGCUUGCACCCUACGUAUUACCGCGGCUGCUGGCAC
Molecule: ribosomal RNA, 292 nt
Filed under: uncultured bacterium
Lineage: Bacteria
Description: partial 16S ribosomal RNA
Source: RNAcentral